Molecule: non-coding RNA, 965 nt
Filed under: Tamias sibiricus (Siberian chipmunk)
Lineage: Eukaryota; Metazoa; Chordata; Mammalia; Rodentia; Sciuridae
Description: 12S ribosomal RNA
Rfam family: Bacterial small subunit ribosomal RNA
Source: RNAcentral
UAAAGGUUUGGUCCUGGCCUUUUCAUUAACUUAUAGUUGACUUAUACAUGCAAGCAUCCCCAUCCCGGUGAGAAUGCCCUCUAUAUCUUACUAGAUCAAAAGGUGCAGGCAUCAAGUUCACUUAUUUACCAUGUAGCUCAUAACGCCUUGCUCCACCACACCCCCACGGGACACAGCAGUAAUUAAAAUUAAGCAAUGAACGAAAGUUCGACUAAAUUAGACUAUUCUAGGGUUGGUAAAUUUCGUGCCAGCCACCGCGGUCAUACGAUUAACCCAAGUUAAUGAAGCACGGCGUAAAGCGUGAUUAAGAGAUAUCACAAAUAAGAUUAAGCUAAUACUAAGCUGUAGAAAGCCCUAGUAUUAAUAAAAAUAGAAUACGAAAGUAAUCUUAAAAAUUCUGAACUCACGAUAGCUAAGACACAAACUGGGAUUAGAUACCCCACUAUGCUUAGCCCUAAACAUAAAUACUCAAUAAACAAGAGUAUUCGCCAGAGUACUACUAGCAACAGCCUAAAACUCAAAGGACUUGGCGGUGCUUUACACCCCUCUAGAGGAGCCUGUUCUAUAAUCGAUAAACCCCGCUUAACCUUACCACCCCUUGCAACAUCAGCCUAUAUACCGCCAUCUUCAGCAAACCCUAUCAAGGUAGUAUAGUAAGCACAAUAAUUCAACACUAAUACGUUAGGUCAAGGUGUAGCCUAUGAGGUGGGAAGAAAUGGGCUACAUUUUCUACUCUACUAGAACACUCACGAUAACUUUCAUGAAACACUGAAAGUCAAAGGCGGAUUUAGUAGUAAGUUAGGAGUAGAGAGCCUAACUGAAUAGGGCAAUAAGGCACGCACACACCGCCCGUCACCCUCUUCAAAUAUAAAAUAAAAUUUAAUUCCAUAAUUAUAUUAAACACAAGUAUAAGAAGAGAUAAGUCGUAACAAGGUAAACAUACUGGAAAGUGUGUUUGGAAUAAU